UACGUAGGGUGCGAGCGUUGCCCGGAUUUAUUGGGCGUAAAGGGCGCGUAGGCGGUCACGCACGUCCGUUGUGAAAUCGCUCGGCUCAACUGGGCGGGGUCAGCGGAUACGGUGUGACUGGAGCAAGCUAGGGGGCAAUGGAAUUCCCGGUGUAGUGGUGGAAUGCGUAGAUAUCAGGAAGAACACCAGUGGCGAAGGCGGCGACCUGGUCCGUGACUGACGCUGAGGCGCGAAAGCGUGGGGAGCAAACAGG
Molecule: ribosomal RNA, 253 nt
Filed under: uncultured bacterium
Lineage: Bacteria
Description: partial 16S ribosomal RNA
Rfam family: Bacterial small subunit ribosomal RNA
Source: RNAcentral